UACGAAGGGGGCUAGCGUUGCUCGGAAUCACUGGGCGUAAAGCGCACGUAGGCGGACUCUUAAGUCGGUGGUGAAAUCCUGGAGCUCAACUCCAGAACUGCCCUCCAAACUGCUUCGCUUGAGACCGGGAGAGGUGAGUGGAAUUCCCAGUGUAGCGGUGAAAUGCGUAGAUAUUGGGAGGAACACCAGUGGCGAAGGCGGCUCACUGGACCGGUACUGACGCUGAUGCGCGAAAGCGUGGGGAGCAAACGGG
This 253-nucleotide ribosomal RNA is filed under the name uncultured bacterium. RNAcentral describes it as "partial 16S ribosomal RNA". It matches the Rfam family "Bacterial small subunit ribosomal RNA", at positions 524 to 776 of the family's 1533-position model. The record is from RNAcentral.